Molecule: ribosomal RNA, 397 nt
Filed under: uncultured bacterium
Lineage: Bacteria
Description: partial 16S ribosomal RNA
Rfam family: Bacterial small subunit ribosomal RNA
Source: RNAcentral
AUACGUAGGGGGCGAGCGUUGUCCGGAAUGAUUGGGCGUAAAGGGCGCGUAGGCGGCCUGUUAAGUCUGGAGUGAAAGUCCUGUUUUCGAGAUGGGACUUGCUUUGGAUACUGAUGGGCUUGAGUGCAGGAGAGGUUAUCGGAAUUCCCGGUGUAGCGGUGAAAUGCGUAGAGAUCGGGAGGAACACCAGUGGCGAAGGCGGGUAACUGGACUGCAACUGACGCUGAGGCGCGAAAGUGUGGGGAGCAAACAGGAUUAGAUACCCUGGUAGUCCACACUGUAAACGAUGAAUGCUAGGUGUAAGAGGUAUCGACCCCUUGUGUGCCGGAGUUAACACAAUAAGCAUUCCGCCUGGGGAGUACGGCCGCAAGGUUGAAACUCAAAUGAAUUGACGGGG